Molecule: ribosomal RNA, 255 nt
Filed under: uncultured bacterium
Lineage: Bacteria
Description: partial 16S ribosomal RNA
Rfam family: Bacterial small subunit ribosomal RNA
Source: RNAcentral
GACAGAGGGUGCAAGCGUUGUUCGGAAUCAUUGGGCGUAAAGGGCGCGUAGGCGGUUUUGUAAGUCGAAUGUGAAAGCCCAGGGCUCAACCUUGGAAGUGCAUCCGAAACUGCGAAACUUUGAAUCCUGGAGAGGGUGGUGGAAUUCCCAGUGUAGAGGUGAAAUUCGUAGAUAUUGGGAGGAACACCGGUGGCGAAGGCGAACCACCUGGACAGAGAUUGACGCUGAGGCGCGAGAGCGUGGGGAGCAAACAGG